Triplophysa rosa is the source of this 1008-nucleotide long non-coding RNA. RefSeq lists it as uncharacterized. NCBI's taxonomy places the organism in Eukaryota, Metazoa, Chordata, Actinopteri, Cypriniformes, Nemacheilidae. The transcript has 3 exons. The record is from RefSeq and is a predicted model, not a curated record.
AAGGAACUCUUCAGGAACUCUUGGUCUUAUCAGGAACUUCAGGAACUUCUGUAACAUUUUCUCUUUCGAUUUUAAGACUGAAGGUGCAGGAGGUAAAAUAAAAUCCAGAAUGGACAUUUCAGGAAUAACGCGCUUUUUCUCGUCAAGGAGAGACAAGGAAAUGGGCCUAGGGAUGAAGUGGCUUCAAAGUAGUUUCCCGAGUAGUGAAUCUCCAAACAGUAAGUAGAUCAUACCUGUCAACACUCCCAUUUUGGCCGGGAGUCUCCCGUUUUUCACACCCAUCUUCCGCCACCCUCCAGUUUUGUUAUUUAUAUCUGUAUAUUCCGCUUCCAUUUAACGCUCGCUCUCACAGUAUGUGUCCGCUCACUGGAGACGACAAGUCGUUUCAUCAACAGGUAGAUGCAGUAGAGUCACAUUACAGUGCUGGAUCUGCAGAAGUAAUAUUUUCGCUGUUUUUAAACUUUGUGAGGUGACCUAUUAGUCAGAUAUGGUGAUCCAUACCCGAAAUGUGACCUCUGCAUUUAACCCAUCCAGAGAGUAGUGAACACACGCACAGCAAGUGGUGAACACACGUACACCCGGAGCAGUGGGCAGCUAUCACUGCAGCGCCCGGGGAGCAAGUAGGGGUCAGGUGCCUUGCUCAAGGGCACCUCAGUCGUUACCCGCCGGCCCUGAGAAUCAAACCGACAACCUUCUGGUCACGAGUCCGACUCUCUAACCAUUAGGUCACAACUGCCCCAGCCAGCCGUGGUUAGAUUCAGAUGCGUGCAUUUAAAGCUUUAUUUGAAAUGUAGAUGAUCCGUGUGUCUCGUCAAUAACAUAUCGUAAUUUAUGCAUUUUUAUUCUAAGAAUGUUUGCAUGAUUAUUACUGUAUAUUGUGAAAACAAUGUCUCUAUCUGUAACUUUUAAUUAUUUAUCAUUUUGAUGCCUUUUUGACCUUUGUCCUGUGGUAAACGUGUAGUAAACAGUUUUUUUUUGUGUGUAUUGAUUACUCAACUCAACUUUAUU